GUUGCUUUGAUAAGAGGUGCUGUUCUCCUCCUGUUGGCUUCAGAGUGCUGUAAAAGAAGCGCCGAUUCAGAGUUACAGAAGUGGUGAGAAGAAAAAGGAGAGGUCAAGUAAUGCAGAGAGACAGAAACUCAGAUAUUAAACUUUCAGCAGAUGGAAUGAGUGCCCAUGUGCAAGCUUUGGUAGCAGAACAGCUUCAGGGGUUGGCCUUCAUGAGAAGAGACCUCCAUCUCCAACAGAGCCAGUGAUCUCUGAAAUACACCUGCUGCAGGAUAAAGAUCGAAAAGAAAUAUCUUCCUGGCAGCACUGCGUAUGGAAGGAAUAAGGAAAGUAACAAGGAGAAAGUUGCGCGCAUUUACAACAUGAAGAUGCUAUUCAAGGUCAGAAGAAGAAGGUCUUCUAUCUACGUAGAAGAAGGUGGAGACCAUAUAAACACUCAUUGAAAGAGACCCAUGGAGAAAACAGAAGUAGGGGAAAGCACUACAGCUGGAAAAUAAAUCUUGACAAUCCUCCAUUCUUGCUGUCAGACAACACCAGAAGCACACUGGCUUCAAGCAGUCCAGUAUCAAAGUGGAUUUGGAGAUUUGGCUAUU
This 590-nucleotide long non-coding RNA is filed under the name Gallus gallus (chicken). Its description in RNAcentral is "long non-coding RNA NONGGAT004622". Lineage: Eukaryota; Metazoa; Chordata; Aves; Galliformes; Phasianidae. The record is from RNAcentral.